The submitters of this non-coding RNA (167 nucleotides) gave its source as unclassified sequences. The record is from Rfam.
GGAGGUUCAAUCGUGCAGACUCUUAGACUUGGUCUUAGCGUACCCAGCUAGCAUCGUACAUGGAUGAACGAACAAGGAGGCCGCGGCCACGGACGGCGCGUCCGAAUGGGAGCGUCACGUAGAACUACGGAUAAUGAAAAGUCUUAGAGACAGCCGAUGGAAGCUUC